UGGCGGACGGGGAGGUAAUGUCUGGGAAACUGCCCGAUGAGGGGGAGUAACUACUGGAAACGGUAGCUAAUACCGCAUAACGUCGCAAGACCAAAGAGGGGGACCUUAGGGCCUCUUGCCAUCGGAUGUGCCCAGAUGGGAUUAGCUAGUAGGUGGGGUAACGGCUCACCUAGGCGACGAUCCCUAGCUGGUCUGAGAGGAUGACCAGCCACACUGGAACUGAGACACGGUCCAG
This 235-nucleotide ribosomal RNA is filed under the name uncultured bacterium. Its description in RNAcentral is "partial 16S ribosomal RNA". It matches the Rfam family "Bacterial small subunit ribosomal RNA", at positions 96 to 334 of the family's 1533-position model. The record is from RNAcentral.